Molecule: ribosomal RNA, 943 nt
Filed under: Lipomyces lipofer
Lineage: Eukaryota; Fungi; Ascomycota; Lipomycetes; Lipomycetales; Lipomycetaceae
Description: LSU rRNA
Rfam family: Eukaryotic large subunit ribosomal RNA
Source: RNAcentral
CAAGUACAGUGAUGGAAAGAUGAAAAGAACUCCGAAAGGAGAGUGAAAAAGGACGUGAAAUUGUUGAAAGGGAAGUGCUUGAGAUCAGUCUUAGGAUUCAGUGAUCAAUCUUCCUUUUGGUUGGUGCACUCACUGUUUUCUAGGCCAACAUCAGUUUUCGCGGCAGGAUAAUGUCCCAGGAAUGUGGCUCCCUCGGGAGUGUUAUAGCCUGGGUUGAUACUGCCAGCUUAGACUGAGGUCUGCGCUUUUUGCUAGGAUGUUGGCAUAAUGAUCUUAAUCAGCCCGUCUUGAAACACGGACCAAGGAGUCUAACAACUAUGCAAGUGUUUGGGUGUAAAACCCGUACGCGUAAUGAAAGUGAACGUAGAUGGGAACCUUUUGGUGCACCAUCGACCGAUCCUGAUGUCUUCGGAUGGAUUUGAGUAAGAGCAUAGCUGUUGGGACCCGAAAGAUGGUGAACUAUGCCUGAAUAGGGUGAAGCCAGAGGAAACUCUGGUGGAGGCUCGUAGCGAUUCUGACGUGCAAAUCGAUCGUCAAAUUUGGGUAUAGGGGCGAAAGACUAAUCGAACCAUCGGCGAAAAGCUACUAGGUGGUUAAGAGGGCCAUGAGUUGUGGUUCUAGUCCGAGGAAGUCGGGCAAGACUGUCAAAUUGCUGGAACACCCUAAAGACAAACGGUACUAAGCUGGACUGGAAACGGUUCGGUGGAGCAGGUAACUACUGCCGAGUGAAAAUCUGUUUGUAUGUAACAAUGGGCAAUCAGCAGCCAAGUCCUAAACCACGAAGUGGCAUGGAUGCAGUUCAGAGACUAAAUGGCAGCCGGUACCUAAUGGGUGCUUAAGAUAUAGUCCAAUCCCAGCUGAAAAGGUGGUCUGCAGACAAAGCGCACGCUCUAACUUCCAUACUUGGACGUGUGCCCGAAUCUGCAGGACUUGUGCGACGCAG